RNAcentral lists this long non-coding RNA (3002 nucleotides) under Capsicum annuum. RNAcentral's name for it is "long non-coding RNA (CANN_LNC016393)". The record is from RNAcentral. Lineage: Eukaryota; Viridiplantae; Streptophyta; Magnoliopsida; Solanales; Solanaceae.
UCACGGGCAGAUCCGCCCCUGGUAGGAACUAUGCUCUUUGUCCAUAGUUUCAACAUUCCUAGGGCUCGAACCUGAGAUUUCUGGUUAAAGGUCCUAUUUAUUCCUGCGCAGUUCAUAGUAGUAGUUGCUGGUGUACAAUGGCUACAUAGGUUACAUGACAAUCAUGAAUCAUUACUCAUGGAUUUGUGGGUCAGGAGGUUAACUUAGUUGCAACUUGCAACUGUACUUGUCACAAUCAAGAAUAUCUUGGUACAGCUGAUGAUAAUGUAAUGUAAGAUAACAAAUGAUGAUCCACCAAAAUAUUUGUUGUGUUACCUGAUAUCUUUUUGCAGUGUCAACGCAUGACAGGAUAUCACAACCAUUUUUAGCAGAUGAGCUAAAACUUUCAGGAAGCUGAUAAUGAUUAUUGAUGCUGAGAAAUUUAUUUCAAUCAUUCUGGAUUUGUCAGGUAAUUUUGCCACACUUUUCUUCUUGUACUUCUUCUAGACGGGAAAAUCACCUUUUUUCCUCUUCCUCUCUGAGCAGUAAUUUCACAUUCAAUUUUCAAUUUAUUGCAUCAAACUCAUAAAACUAAUAUCGCUGGAAAAGAAUGCAGUAUAAUAAUAAAUAAUCCCUUGUAGGUGACGAAUGCAAGUCCUAUGACUACAUAUCUACACUUCCUGUGUAAUUCUCUUUAGAUGAAAUUUGGGUGGAAAAAAAAUCAAAAAAUAACAUUAGACAGCAAAAGUGUGAAAUUCUCUUGGUAGGAGAGCAAAACUUCUUAUGUGUAUCUUGUAUGGUUUCUUCCCUUGUUCAAGAUCACAAGACUUGCAAACAAAGUUUUUUUGUUUUCAAUAACCGUGGUGUCUGGGCCAGCUUGCCGCACCUCGACACAAAUAACUUUAAAUCUAUCAUAAGCAAUGUGACUUGAAUCGACCAAGAGAAGAUCUCCAUUUUCUUGAGUGGAGAUUUCUAAAUGAUUAACCUUCUUCAUGUUUGUGACCUUCAUUUGCCAGAAAGUCAGACAUUUUUUUUCGUUCCACCAGAUGUAUAUAAUAGUAGCUCUCGUGUGUUCCAGCAAAUUUUUACGGUCUUCAAUAAUAGUCCUGAAGAUUAAUGUUGUAUGUCCUCCUCUUUGAUAAGCUUGACAACAAGUAGAUAGUUUGUUUCCACCUCUAAUUCUUUAUAACAUAUUUCUUUUGCUGCUUUUGAACCUUGUUUGAUGCUCUAUGGCUUUAUAGCGAGGCUUGAAGUUGGCUUCAUUUUACCUGUAUAACUCAAUAUCCACUUUCCUUGUUCGUCUCUAUAAAUCCUUACAAAUGCAGCAUCUCUAGUUUGAGUCUUGAAAUUGGCAUUACUGGCGAUCUGUAAAUAGGGCAAUGUUUGUAUUAGGAAGUUGGCUAAUAUUGGAAUGUGGUGGCAUGGUGCUAUGCACUCCUUAAUUAAAGCCAUGUCAUGCCCUUUGCCUAGACAUCAUCUCUCAUCAGGUUUAGCUAAAUAAUAUUGGGAAAACAAAAUAAUAAAAGAAAACUUGAGCAGAGGAUUUUUUUUUUUUGAUAACUGUGGUGUCCGGGCCAGCUUGCACGCACCUCGACUAAUUCCACGGGAUACACGCUGCCUCCUCCAGCAACAACAGAUGUUAGGUAACUAUGUCCACCAAGGAUAGAAUAGGUGGGAAGAAAUCACCCAGUGUUUGUCUCUACUGAAAAUUUAACCUGAUACCUCAUGGUGCUCGACCCACAACAUUGACCACUAGGCCACUCCCUUGGAUGCGUGGAGGAAUUGAGAUGCUUUACCCGUAUCUUAUAAUUUUGAGUUGGAUGUUCAAAUUCUUUUGGUCAAAUACAUAGACGGCCCCUUAAAGUUGCUUCAGUUUCCUUUUCUUUUCUUUUUUUUCCUGAUAACAACUUCAGUUUUUAUUUCGACACCUUCACUAAAGUCGAUACUUUAACACUCUAACAUCAUUCAAAGUGUGUCCGUUAAACUCUUUGCAAAGAAAAAAAUUGUGAAAAAGAAAAAAGAAAUGAGAAAGAGAAGAAAGGAAAAGUAUGGAAAAAAGGUUAUAUAAGUGAUUCACGCGCUCAACAAUAACUGAAAGUCACUUUUUGCGCCACGUCAAUCCGAGGUGUUUAAUAGACACACUUGGAAUGGUGUUGGAGUGUUCAACAGGUAUUUUCCCUCUUUUAGGUGUAAAUGUGAAAAUUGGAGCCAACUUUAAAGGGCCGUCUGGAUAUUUGGCCAAUUCCUUUAAAAGAUAGCAAAAUAUGCAAACAUGCAAGAUGCUUGAGUACACAUGAAAAUUAACAUCUUAUUAAGUUCCACUUGAAUAGUUAAAUGUACAUAACAAAAUAUCACAUUUCACAAGCAUGCUGGCAUGUAACUUAUUAGCUCAUAUACACAAAGCAAACAGAGAAGAAGAAAAAGCAGCCAGGAUAGACCAUUCCCUGGAACGUGUGGGGAAGAAGAGAAGUGGCACCAGACGGAACAACAUUCACAGAGGAAGAAUCCGAGGAGGGAUCGUCCUUCUUUGGCUUUGAUGGCUCUGGAGCAGGUGCUGGUGGUAAUGGUUUGACAAAGAAUUUCAAAGGAAGCAGUACCUUAUCCACUUGGUAAAUAGCUAAUUGACUGUCAGUGUAAAUUGUACUGGUCAGACUUGCAUUAACAAUCCCAGUUGUUAUGUUCACUGCUGUCCCGUUUGUGGCUAUAUUGAUGGGGAAUUCACGAUUAGUGGUUCCUCCAGCUUGUGUUUGUACAGGGUUGCUAGCCGUUUGGAACUGUGAUAGGGAGAAAUAUGAGGGGAGGAUAUGGAAUUUAACUAAUUCAGCUUUCCGCUGAUCACUGAAAGAGUUGAGGGUGCCAGUUUUCAGGUUCAAGAAAGCACCAUCCGAUGGAACAAACAUGGUUAUGCUGUUGGAGUUGUUUAGUAAUGAGGUGAUUUCACCCACUUCAUGAGUGAUUUGUAACAACUUGAUGAACGUCGAACAUGAUCCAGCUUUCGCAAGGAUUUUUAUCACGUUUGGCAG